UAAUACGGAGGGUGCAAGCGUUAAUCGGAAUUACUGGGCGUAAAGCGUGCGUAGGUGGUUUGUUAAGUUAGAUGUGAAAGCCCUGGGCUCAACCUAGGAACUGCAUUUAAAACUGGCAAACUAGAGUAUAGGAGAGGAAAGUGGAAUUUCAGGUGUAGCGGUGAAAUGCGUAGAUAUCUGAAGGAACAUCAAUGGCGAGGGCAGCUUUCUGGACUAAUACUGACACUGAGGUACGAAAGCGUGGGUAGCAAACAGGAUUAGAUACCCUGGUAGUCCACGCCGUAAACGAUGACAACUAGCCGUUGGGAGGAUUUACCUCUUAGUGGCGAAGCUAACGCGUUAAGUUGUCCGCCUGGGGAGUACGGCCGCAAGGUUA
RNAcentral lists this ribosomal RNA (376 nucleotides) under uncultured Gammaproteobacteria bacterium. Its description in RNAcentral is "bacterial SSU rRNA". It matches the Rfam family "Bacterial small subunit ribosomal RNA", at positions 521 to 896 of the family's 1533-position model. The record is from RNAcentral. Lineage: Bacteria; Pseudomonadati; Pseudomonadota; Gammaproteobacteria.